This 29-nucleotide non-coding RNA is filed under the name Homo sapiens (human). The record is from RNAcentral. Lineage: Eukaryota; Metazoa; Chordata; Mammalia; Primates; Hominidae.
GGCAAUGGAUGGCGGGUGACAUGGAAUUC